AAAAAAAAAAAACUCUUCUUUAUCGUUUGGUAUUUGUUUUGGCUUUUGGGUUUUUGUCGCUGUGUGUGUUUGUGUUGUUUCACUGAUUCAUUUUCUCGCUUCCUUUCUCUUUUCUUGCUUCGUUCUCUGCUUCUGCUGCAGAGCUGCUUUGGAAUAGUAUUGUACUAGUCGAGUUCUUUUUUGCAGAGAUGGAUACCUUGGUUUUCUGCUUGCUCAGGAAUCGAGGUUGAGGUCCUUCCCUUUUCUGUGAGGUCCUCCACGUUUCUUUUCUAUCUUCUAGCCUGGCUGCAAUACUCUUUUUGCGUUACACGUUCAAUCCUUCAGACACAGAGCGAGAGAGAGACAGAAAGAGAGGGAGGGAGGGAGGUAAUAUGUGGGAAUCGAUCUGUUUAACGUUGGCGGCCGCCGCAGGCAAUAACAUCGGCAAGGUUCUUCAGAAAAAGGGAGCCAUCAUUCUGCCUCCUCUUUCUUUCAAACUCAAGGUGAUUAGGGCAUAUGCUGUUAAUAAAGCUUGGGUCAUAGGUUUCCUAAUGGAUAUAAGUGGAGCAAUGUUAAUGUUGAGGGCAUUAUCUCAAGCUCCUGUAUCUGUCAUCCAACCAGUUUCUGGAUGUGGUCUUGCCAUUCUUUCUGUCUUCUCCCAUUUUUAUCUAAAAGAAGUCAUGAAUGUCAUUGAUUGGAUUGGAAUCACUCUGGCAGGUAUUGGUACCAUAGGAGUUGGUGCUGGAGGUGACGAGCAGGAGGCUUCUUCCAUAUCUGUUUUCCAGUUACCGUGGCUGGCAUUUAUUGUUGCCAUCUUGUUUGUAGUCCUUAACGGAUGGCUUCGUGUCUGCAAAUGUCAACGAAGAGAACAGGAGACGGUAAUUGCUGUUUGUUCUGUUGAUACUUUGUAAGGUUACAUGUUUUUGUAUCUUCAACUCCUCCCUUGCAAUCAUUGACAGUAUCUGUGAUGCAGAUGGAAUAUGAAGUUGUUGAAGAAAUUAUAUAUGGCUUGGAAUCUGGCAUUUUGUUUGGGUAAAGUUCCACCAACUUCAUAUCGAUAAUUUCUUGUUCAGAGUUGACUUUUCUAUUAUGUAGCAAAAUUCUAAAAAGCCAAAAUGCAUGAAUAGAAUCCAUAGAAUCAAUUAUCAAAUGGCAAUAUAAUGUUUUCUGUGGCAAGUUUAAGAAAUGGGACUUCUUGAUUUGCCGGAUGUAAAUAAUGUGUUAGAGCUUAAAUUAUAUCAUUUUAAUGAAUUUCACUUAAUUUUACGCCAAUAAUUAGAGAUAUUUGUUAUAAAAAAGGGUUUUUCUUGCUUGUGUAUCAUUUUCAUUUAUAACAUUUCUAAACAGAAUUGAUCAUAUUCAAUACAGAGAUCAAUGUAUGUGGCAAAAGCACAUAUCAACUUCUUUUCCUCCUUCAAAGAAACUAUGUUUUGAUGAUUUAUGCUGACAUUGUUUAUUCUGGAAUGCAAUUCAACAAACAGUGAAAUUACAUAUUAAUCCUUUAAAAGAAAUAUGAAAUGCUACUGGAAGUGAACUUGUAUCUUGAAGCACGGUGGCACUAAAGCCCACAUGACAUGCUUCAAGAGCAAUUGGCCACAAGAUUGUUUGAUAUUUUUUAGAACAUUCAUUUUCUAGCGUUAUUUUUUAAAUGCAUAAUGGCACUGGAAUUUAUUUGAGAAUUUGAACUGAAUCUUAUGAUGUGAAUCAUUUUACUUGAUUCUCAAUUUGUAGAUAUAAAAUUUUGAUUCAGAAUUCAAAACUUGAUUUCUCUUCUGUGGAGCUAGGCUUAAGAUCUUGGAUGUAAAGUCAAUCUAUCCAAUUGCAGGAUGGCCUCGGUGAUAUCAAAGAUGGGAUUUGUUUUCUUGGAGCAGGGCUUCUCAAGGAUGUUGGUUCCUAUAUGCAUCUCAAUCAGUAUAUGCUGUAGUGCAACAGGAUUUUAUUACCAGACUCUUGGUCUAAAGCAUGGAAGGGCAAUUGUGGUGUCUACAUGUGCUGCUGUAGCAUCAAUAGUGACUGGUGUACUUUCUGGAAUGCUUGCUUUGGGAGAACGAUUGCCUUCAGCACCAGCUGCUCGACUUUCACUUCUGCUGGGAUGGUAACUCUAUAGCACAACUUGUAUUUUUAUUGAUUUACUAUCUGUUCUUAUAGAUGAAAGCAUCUUAAAGCAUAUUCUGAGAGUCAUGGGUUCUUAAGGCAUACAAUCUGCUAUGUGGUCUAUCUUAUCUACUCGACUAAGCUUCAGUGUCAUGUGUUGCAUGUAUACAGUGGAAAAGGAGCUAUAUUCAAUAGAUAUAUUUUUUUUUCUGAAAAAAAAAAGAAGAAAAUAUUAUAAAGAAAAGAAGCUGGAUGGCUUUAGACAUCUGAUUUUCAGCCGUGUUUGCUGAUUUUAUCAGAAUGUCUAGUUUUGGCAUAACCUAUUCGAAAAAAUUGCUUUCUUCGAUCAUGUGGUCAGACUAGUCUAUCUUUGUUAACCCCCUUUUUACAGCAUUUGUUAUUGGAUCCGACUUGCAUGUUAACUUAUUUUUGUAGGCUACUCAUCAUAGUAGGUGUGAUUUUGCUUGUGAGUUCCACCCGGCUACUGCAGCACCUACCACGGCCAUUACGACGCUUCAUGAGAAGCAGCAUUGAUCGGAAUUUUAAUCUGAGUCGAUCAGGGUCUCUCCGGGUUAAGGAUUCAAACCCAAGUGCUGUUAUCCAGGCAGCAACAUUGCAUCAUUUGAUAUCAACUCCAGCUAAAGAGAAAGCAUGAAUAGAAAAAGUCACCAAGUUUGCUACCAAUGCUCAAGAGAUAUUAGCUUUUGUAUCGAUCAACAUGCUUUCUUGAUGCUGCAGUGUGUUGGUCUUGUUGAGCCUGGUGUGUACAGUGUACCUUAUUACAUUCUCUUUGGAGGGCAUGAAAUUUUGGAGAUCAUUCUCUCCUAUACAUAUAUUACAUCACUGAAUUCUGAAGUAGGAAUGCUCAUAUACAUUUCAAGUUACAGUCAUAUUUGUAACUUCUCAACAGGAAGAAACUUGUGUGUUUUACUACAGCAGGUCUAUAUUUAGCAUUAGAAGUUUCAUCCACAAACACCUACCACGGCCAUUACUACAGCAGGUCAACUUAUAAUACUUUUCGUUAGCCCAUUUUUUUUUCUUUUUUAU
Molecule: unclassified non-coding RNA, 3120 nt
Filed under: Hevea brasiliensis (rubber tree)
Lineage: Eukaryota; Viridiplantae; Streptophyta; Magnoliopsida; Malpighiales; Euphorbiaceae
Source: RNAcentral